Molecule: long non-coding RNA, 1397 nt
Filed under: Sus scrofa (pig)
Lineage: Eukaryota; Metazoa; Chordata; Mammalia; Artiodactyla; Suidae
Description: lncRNA (ENSSSCG00055019559.1)
Source: RNAcentral
GCUCCCGUCCGGAAGUACGCUCAACCGCACCUCUGGGAGAAAGCUGUGCGCUAGUGUUUUGUGCUUGUCCUGGUUAGACUUCGUGAGAAGAAUGAGGCACAAUGUAAACCACUUCCCCAAGUAACAAGACUGCAUGCAGCGCCAUGUGGGAUCUCAGUUCUCAGACCAGGGCUUAAACUUGGGCUGCAGUGGUGAAAGAGCUGAAUCUUAACCGUUGGACUGCCAAGGAAUUCCCUAGAUUCAAAAUCUUUCUUUUGAAAAUUGUUCCCGGAUGUCACCUCAGUGCCCCCAGAAACACUGGCAGGAAAUCAUCUCUUCACAGAAUCACCACUAUUGUCUCAAAAAGACGAAGCUGCAGAGCCCAUUCUUGAGUGUAUGUGCAGUUACAAGAACUUCUCUAGGAAACAUACUCUGAGGUGGAAUAUAGCCGAAAGUAUAACUAAUCCCAUGUGUCCAUCCCCUCGCUUCACUUCAUCAUAGACUUGUUUCAUCUUCUUCUUCUCCCUUCUUAUGUUUUGUUGCUGGAGUAUUUUAAAGCAAGUCUCAGACAUCAUUCCCUUCACCUCUAAACACUUCAGCAUGCUACUCAAAAAGAAAUAGCCAAGUAUUUUCUUACAUAACCACAAUGCCAUUAUCACAUCUAACAAAAUUCAGAGUAAUUCCUUCAUAUCAUUCAAUUACCAAGUCAUACUCAAAUUUCCUCUAUUAUAUAAAAAUAUUCUUUUUGUAAUUACUGUUUAGAAUCAGAUCAAACAAGAGCCCUUUCAUUUGGUUAUGUCUCUUGUGUUUCUUAUAAGUCUUUUAAGUCUUAUGUUUCCCUUAAUCUAGAACAGUCCCCUCCCCUUUUAUUCUUUCUUUCAUUGACUUGAUGAAAUUAGAGUCCAAUGUAAGAUCCUUCCUUUGAGAUCUGGUGUAUUGCUUCCUUGUGGACUGCAUCCUUUAUGCUCAGUAUUUCCUGUGGACUAGAGAUCAGUUUUAAAGCCUUGAUUAUAUUAUGGUUCAUACAUUUUUUUUUUUUUCCCUUGAGAAUCCAUCCUAAAUGGUACUGUGUACUUUCUCCAUCCCCUUCAGGAAGCAUGUAAUGUGUGUUAUCUCAUUUUUUGCGACACUAAGAUUGUUCCUUGUAGAUGCAAACUAUUACAUUUAGAAUGGAUAGGCAGUGAAGUCCUACUGUACAGCACAGGAAACUAUAUCCAGUCUCUUGGGGUAAUCCAUGAUGGAAGACAGUCUAAGAAAGAUUAUAUAUAUUUAUGUAUUUCAUUAUAUAUGUUUCAUACAUAUAUAUGUAUGACUGGCUCACUCUGCUAUACAGCAGAAAUCACAGCAUUAUAAAUCAAUUAUACUUUAGAGAAGAUAAAUAAAAAAUACUAGAUAACAGUAAAAAAAAUAAAGAUUGA